RNAcentral lists this ribosomal RNA (468 nucleotides) under uncultured bacterium. RNAcentral's name for it is "partial 16S ribosomal RNA". It matches the Rfam family "Bacterial small subunit ribosomal RNA", at positions 28 to 507 of the family's 1533-position model. The record is from RNAcentral.
GACGAACGCUGGCGGCGUGCUUAACACAUGCAAGUCGAACGGAAAGGCCCUGCUCUUGUGGGGUGCUCGAGUGGCGAACGGGUGAGUAACACGUGAGUAACCUGCCCUUGACUUUGGGAUAACUUCAGGAAACUGGGGCUAAUACCGGAUAGGAGCUCCUGCUGCACGGUGGGGGUUGGAAAGUUUCGGCGGUUGGGGAUGGACUCGCGGCUUAUCAGCUUGUUGGUGGGGUAGUGGCUUACCAAGGCUUUGACGGGUAGCCGGCCUGAGAGGGUGACCGGCCACAAUGGGACUGAGAGACGGCCCAGACUGCUACGGGAGGCAGCGGUGGGGAAUAUUGCACAAUGGGCGGAAGUCUGAUGCAGCAACGCCGCGUGCGGGAUGACGGCCUUCGGGUUGUAAACCGCUUUCGCCUGUGACGAAGCGUGAGUGACGGUAAUGGGUAAAAAAGCACCGGCUAACUACGUG